RNAcentral lists this non-coding RNA (148 nucleotides) under Nomascus leucogenys (northern white-cheeked gibbon). The record is from Rfam by way of RNAcentral. Lineage: Eukaryota; Metazoa; Chordata; Mammalia; Primates; Hylobatidae.
GCUGGGCAUGGUGGCGCAUGCCUGUAAUCCCAGCUACUUGGGAGGCUGAGGCAGGAGAAUCGCUUGAACCCAGGAGGCGGAGGUUACGGUGAGCCAAGAUCGCACCACUGCACUCCAGCCUGGGCAAUAGAGCAAAACUCUGUCUCAA